GUAGUCAUAUGCUUGUCUCAAAGAUUAAGCCAUGCAUGUCUAAGUAUAAGCAAUUAUACAGCGAAACUGCGAAUGGCUCAUUAUAUAAGUUAUCGUUUAUUUGAUAGUACCUUACUACUUGGAUAACCGUGGUAAUUCUAGAGCUAAUACAUGCUAAAAAUCCCGACUUCGGAAGGGAUGUAUUUAUUAGAUUAAAAACCAAUGCCCUCCGGGGCUCACUGGUGAUCCAUGAUAACUCCUCGAAUCGCAUGGCCUUGCGCCGGCGAUGGUUCAUUCAAAUUUCUUCCCUAUCAACUUUCGAUGUUUGGGUAUUGGCCAAACAUGGUUGCAACGGGUAACGGGGAAU
This 346-nucleotide ribosomal RNA is filed under the name uncultured fungus. RNAcentral describes it as "SSU rRNA". It matches the Rfam family "Eukaryotic small subunit ribosomal RNA", at positions 20 to 370 of the family's 1831-position model. Lineage: Eukaryota; Fungi. The record is from RNAcentral.